UGCGGCGUAGCUCAAUGGAGACCAGAGCGCUCGUCUUGUAAAUGAGAAGAUGUGGGUUCAACUCCCACCGCCGCAGCCA
Molecule: transfer RNA, 79 nt
Filed under: Pyrinomonadaceae bacterium
Lineage: Bacteria; Pseudomonadati; Acidobacteriota; Blastocatellia; Blastocatellales; Pyrinomonadaceae
Description: tRNA-Thr
Rfam family: tRNA
About the family: Transfer RNA (tRNA) molecules are approximately 80 nucleotides in length. Their secondary structure includes four short double-helical elements and three loops (D, anti-codon, and T loops).
Source: RNAcentral